UAUGACCAGCUCAAUCAGAUUACAUCAAAACUCAACCAUUGAAAAGCCAUCCUGUACACAUGAAGCUGUCUGUUACUUAAAUUGUUUUGUAACUUUGCUGUCUCUUAUGGAUAAAUAGUGGAGAUUUUUCACACCAUAUGGAUUGAAAGUGUUUUUUCCACUUUGCAGUGGCAUUAUGAUAUUUCAAUACCAUAAGGUAUAAAGGAUAGACUUGAUGCUGGGUUUUCAGAUUUUGCUAUGUUUACAUUUGUUUGAAUGCCUUGGAAAAGCAGUAUACACUUCCAAAUUACUUGAAUUACUUCAGAUUUAGUUCUUCAUGUGAAGUCUAGACGCCACCAUAGAAAAGUUUAAUAAUUUGC
This 359-nucleotide unclassified non-coding RNA is filed under the name Hevea brasiliensis (rubber tree). Lineage: Eukaryota; Viridiplantae; Streptophyta; Magnoliopsida; Malpighiales; Euphorbiaceae. The record is from RNAcentral.